Molecule: ribosomal RNA, 520 nt
Filed under: uncultured bacterium
Lineage: Bacteria
Description: bacterial SSU rRNA
Rfam family: Bacterial small subunit ribosomal RNA
Source: RNAcentral
AGGACGAACGCUGGCGGCGUGCCUAAUACAUGCAAGUCGAACGGUCUUUCUAUGGAAGCUUGCUUCCACUGAGAAGAUAGUGGCGAACGGGUGAGUAACACGUGGGUAACCUGCCCAUAAGAGGGGGGAUAACAUCCGGAAACGGGUGCUAAUACCGCAUAGUUUUCUUGAUCGCAUGAUCGGAAAGGAAAGACGGCCUUUGUGCUGUCGCUUAUGGAUGGACCCGCGGCGUAUUAGUUAGUUGGUGAGGUAACGGCUCACCAAGACGAUGAUACGUAGCCGACCUGAGAGGGUGAUCGGCCACACUUGGGACUGAGACACGGCCCAAACUCCUACGGGAGGCAGCAGUAGGGAAUCUUCCGCAAUGGACGAAAGUCUGACGGAGCAACGCCGCGUGAGUGAAGAAAGGUUUUCGGAUCGCAAAACUCUGUUGUCAGAGAAGAACAAGUUGGAGAGUAACUGCUCCAGCCUUGACGGUAUCUGACCAGAAAGCCACGGCUAACUACGUGCCAGCCGCGGC